This 322-nucleotide ribosomal RNA is filed under the name uncultured eukaryote. Its description in RNAcentral is "partial 18S ribosomal RNA". It matches the Rfam family "Eukaryotic small subunit ribosomal RNA", at positions 1470 to 1796 of the family's 1831-position model. The record is from RNAcentral.
CCCUUAGAUGUUCUGGGCCGCACGCGUGCUACACUGAGUAAAUCAAUGGGUAAGGGAACACGAAAGUGCAACCUAAUCUUGAAAUUUGCUCGUGAUGGGGAUCGACGGUUGCAAUUUUCCGUCGUGAACGAGGAAUACCUUGUAGGCGCGUGUCAUCAUCACGCGCCGAAUACGUCCCUGCCCUUUGUACACACCGCCCGUCGCUCCUACCGAUUGAGUGAUCCGGUGAGGCUCUGGGACCUGGACGGAAAGAGCGUUUCGCUUGUUCUGCUCGGAAAACUCAGUCGAACCUUAUCAUUUAGAGGAAGGAGAAGUCGUAACA